Molecule: ribosomal RNA, 492 nt
Filed under: uncultured bacterium
Lineage: Bacteria
Description: partial 16S ribosomal RNA
Rfam family: Bacterial small subunit ribosomal RNA
Source: RNAcentral
AGUGAACGCUGGCGGUAGGCCUAACACAUGCAAGUCGGACGGCAGCACAGUAAGAGCUUGCUCUUACGGGUGGCGAGUGGCGGACGGGUGAGGAAUACAUCGGAAUCUACUUUUUCGUGGGGGAUAACGUAGGGAAACUUACGCUAAUACCACAUACGACCUACGGGUGAAAGCAGGGGAUCUUCGGACCUUGCGCGAUUGAAUGAGCCGAUGUCGGAUUAGCUAGUUGGCGGGGUAAAGGCCCACCAAGGCGACGAUCCGUAGCUGGUCUGAGAGGAUGAUCAGCCACACUGGAACUGAGACACGGUCCAGACUCCUACGGGAGGCAGCAGUGGGGAAUAUUGGACAAUGGGCGCAAGCCUGAUCCAGCCAUACCGCGUGGGUGAAGAAGGCCUUCGGGUUGUAAAGCCCUUUUGUUGGGAAAGAAAAGCAGCAGGUUAAUACCCCGCUGUUCUGACGGUACCCAAAGAAUAAGCACCGGCUAACUUCGUG